RNAcentral lists this ribosomal RNA (253 nucleotides) under uncultured bacterium. RNAcentral's name for it is "partial 16S ribosomal RNA". It matches the Rfam family "Bacterial small subunit ribosomal RNA", at positions 524 to 776 of the family's 1533-position model. The record is from RNAcentral.
UACGUAGGGGGCAAGCGUUGUCCGGAAUUACUGGGCGUAAAGCGUGCGCAGGCGGUUUUGUAAGCCAGAUGUGAAAUCCCCGGGCUUAACCUGGGAAUGGCAUUUGGGACUGCAAGGCUCGAGUGCGGCAGAGGAGACUGGAAUUCCUGGUGUAGCAGUGAAAUGCGUAGAUAUCAGGAGGAACACCGAUGGCGAAGGCAGGUCUCUGGGCAUUAACUGACGCUGAGGAGCGAAAGCAUGGGGAGCGAACAGG